UGAGGAUCUACUUGAUUUUGGCAAUGAGUUGCUCAAACCAUGGAGUCAGAGCGGAGAAGGUAUAUCACACGGCGUAGGCCGUGUUCCUAGAGCGGUGGUUGCGGGGGCGGGACUCGGGCGCACCGAACCGCAAAGACACGCCGCGCCUUGCGUAGCCCCUAUAAGGGCUUCGCGGGAGACGGAUGCAGAACACGCGCCAGCUCCUCCCCCAGCGCUGUCGCAACCGUUUGGCUGCG
Molecule: long non-coding RNA, 236 nt
Organism: Schistocerca americana (American grasshopper)
Lineage: Eukaryota; Metazoa; Arthropoda; Insecta; Orthoptera; Acrididae
Exons: 2
Source: RefSeq, a predicted model, not a curated record